AGCUCCAAUAGCGUAUAUUAAAGUUGCUGCAGUUAAAAAGCUCGUAGUUGCAUUUCCGAGGCAAGGGAUUAGUCCGACCUUUGGUGGGUAUUUAAUCCUCUUGCCUCGUCCUUGAGUGGUGCUUCUUGGUAUUAAGUUAUCGAGGAGAUAGCCGCUCAUCGUUUACUGUGAGAAAAUUAGAGUGUUCAAAGCAGGCUUAUGCCGUUGAAUAUAUUAGCAUGGAAUAAUAAGAUAGGGCCUCGGUACUAUUUUGUUGGUUUGAGAACCAAGGUAAUGAUGAAUAGGGACAGUUGGGGGUAUUCGUAUUCAGUUGUCAGAGGUGAAAUUCUUAGAUUUACUGAAGACGAACUACUGCGAAAGCAUUUACCAAGGAUGUUUUCA
Molecule: ribosomal RNA, 381 nt
Filed under: uncultured marine Chaetocerotaceae
Lineage: Eukaryota; Bacillariophyta; Thalassiosirophyceae; Chaetocerotales; Chaetocerotaceae
Description: SSU rRNA
Rfam family: Eukaryotic small subunit ribosomal RNA
Source: RNAcentral